AAGAGGGAAAAAAAAAUGCUCCAGCAGGAGGAAGAAGAAGAAGAAAAAGAAAAAGAGAAAAAAAAAUUGCUCCUGCAGGAAGAAGAAGAAGAGGAGUCCGCCUGGCGGUGCUCCGGCCGUCGCUUUCUUUUUUCGGCGAAAAAAAAAAAGAACGAGAGAACAAAGAGGAGAGAGAAAGAGGAAAGAGAAAAAGUAAUAAGGGUAUUUUGGUCAGUUUGCUGAAAAAGCGAACCGAAUUUGCAAAAACGAAAAAGGUGGCCCGGUUUUGCAGAAGCCCAAAAUAAGUGGAUUUUUUAUGCAAAUUGGCCAAAUUUUUUUACGGGUAACCAAACAUUGGAAAAAAAAAUUUCAAUGAGAAAAAAAUUUUCGGAGCAAUUUUACAGGGAUCCAAACACACCCUAAUUUAAUGAAUGAUACGAACACAGUUUAAUUUUAAUUUUUUCAGUUCGUCUAAUAAACAAGGCUGGAUUUUAAUUUUUCAAUUCGUCUAAUAAACGAGUCGGGAGUUUGGUUUGUAGGAAAAAAAAAUAGUUUUCCGUUACGAUUGUUUGGUUGAUAGAAAAAAAAAAGUUAUGAAGAUAAAUUAAUAUAUUUUUUCUUAUUUUAUAUAUUAUAUAUUAUUAAUAAAUAAUAAUUAUCAUACUAUAUUUAUUAUUAUUCUAGUUUAUAUUUAAAAAAUAUAUAUUUAAAACAUAUUAUACAAAAAAUAUGUAAUAUCAUAUAUAAUAAUAUAUA
This 735-nucleotide long non-coding RNA is filed under the name Ananas comosus (pineapple). RNAcentral's name for it is "long non-coding RNA (ACOM_LNC040629)". The record is from RNAcentral. Lineage: Eukaryota; Viridiplantae; Streptophyta; Magnoliopsida; Poales; Bromeliaceae.